AUAGCGUAUAUUAAAGUUGUUGCAGUUAAAAAGCUCGUAGUUGAAUUUUGGAUUUGGCUGUUGUUGGUCGGCCGUAUAGGUCUGUACUCUUCUGGCCAAAUCUCUCCUUCUGGAAAACUUUCAAACCAUUUAUUUGGUCUGUAAGGGCUCCAGGAUUUUUACCUUGAAAAAAUUAGAGUGUUUAAAGCAGGCAUACGCUUGAAUACAUUAGCAUGGAAUAAUAGAAUAGGACUUUGGUUCUAUUUUGUUGGUUUCUAGGACCGAAGUAAUGAUUAAUAGGGACAGUUGGGGGCAUUAGUAUUUAAUUGUCAGAGGUGAAAUUCUUGGAUUUAUGAAAGACUAACUUCUG
Molecule: ribosomal RNA, 349 nt
Filed under: uncultured eukaryote
Lineage: Eukaryota
Description: SSU rRNA
Rfam family: Eukaryotic small subunit ribosomal RNA
Source: RNAcentral